AAUGUCUCCGUCCCUCAAAACUCAGUACCUCCUUGUGCUCGAAAAGCCAUCCAUAAUCUUCUAAUUUAGUUGCAAACUUAACUACCAAAAAGCACAAUGAAGCCUUUACUUGCCUCAUCUUUUGCCAAAACACAUUCUCCAUGCCCGUAUACAGUUUUGAGAUAUUGUUUAACUCCUUUAGAAGUGUAAGAUACAGAGACCACCAUUGUACAACUCGCACAUCUUCUACUUCCUCUUUCAAACCCAACCGGGUUUCCAAAAGCCCUAAAGACAACAGCGUUGCUUUUAGCAAACCACGGAAAGAAUAAUAUAAACACUCAAUACUCUGUCUGUAAUACUCUGCGUCACCGGUGUCAUUCUUUAUCAACGGAUAAG
This 375-nucleotide unclassified non-coding RNA is filed under the name Hevea brasiliensis (rubber tree). Lineage: Eukaryota; Viridiplantae; Streptophyta; Magnoliopsida; Malpighiales; Euphorbiaceae. The record is from RNAcentral.